AUGGAGUUCACCAAGGAUGGCUCCGUCGACCUCCGCGGCCAACCGAUCAUCGCCUCCCGGACCGGCCGGUGGAAGGCGUGCUCCUUUUUACUAGGGUACGAGGCGUUCGAGCGGAUGGCGUUCUACGGGGUGGCAUCGAACCUGGUGGUGUACCUGACGACUCAGAUGCGGCAGGAGACGGUGUCGUCGGUGCGCAGCGUCAACAACUGGACGGGGGCGGUGUGGAUGACGCCCAUCGCCGGCGCCUACGUCGCCGACGCCUUCCUCGGCCGCUUCUGGACCUUCACCGGCGCCUCGCUCAUAUACCUCGUGGGCAUGGUUAUGAUAAGCCUGGCCGUCUCCCUGAAGCCACUGCACCCGCACUGCACCGCGGACGGUGACUGCGCCCCGGCGACCCGGCGGCAGGUGGCCUUCUUCUACGCGGCGCUUUACACCAUGGCCGUCGGCGCGGGCGGGACCAAGCCCAACGUCUCGACGUUCGGCGCGGACCAGUUCGACGAUUUGGACGUACGGGAGCGCGAGAUCAAGGCUUCCUUCUUCAACUGGUGGACGUUCAGCACCUUCACCGGCGGCCUCGUCGCCAUGCUCGUCCUCGUUUACGUCCAGGAGGAGGUCGGCUGGGGCGUCGGGUACGCGAUCCCGACGGUCGGCCUUGCCCUGUCUCUUGUGCUGUUCUAUGUGGGCAUGCCGUUCUACCGGCACAAGCCUGUCAGGCGGAGCACGGCGGCAGGUCCAGCAAGGCUGAUCGGCAGGGUGCUCAGGGCAGCCUAUGCGAACCGGGGAUGUCAGCUCACCGGGGAGCUGAACGAGCAUGGCACGGCUGCUGCCGUUGACGGGAAGCGGCUUUUACUCCACACGCGGGAUAAUUUCAGGUUCUUGGACAAGGCGGCCAUGGUGUCAGACACAGACAGUGAGACGGCCAGCCAUGCGCCAUGCACAGUGACCGAGGUCGAGGAGGUGAAGCUCAUAGCCGGAAUGAUCGUGGUAUGGCUUGUCACUCUGGUGCCCUGCAUGAUCCCUGCGCAAGUGAACACCCUCUUCGUGAAGCAAGGGACCACCCUGGACCGCUCACUCGGUGCCGUCCGCAUCCCGGCCGCCUCCCUCGGCAGCUUCAUCACCAUCUCCAUGCUCAUCUCGAUCCCUAUCUACGACCGCGUGCUGGUGCCGCUCCUCCGGCGGCGCACCGGCGACCCGCGUGGCAUCACCCUCCUGCAGCGCCUUGGCGUCGGGUGCUUGCUGCAAGCGCUGGUCGUGGCAUGCGCCUGCCUUGUCGAGGUCAGGCGCAUGCGCGUGAUCCGGGAGCGCUCCAUCCACGGCCCCCACGACACGGUGCCGAUGAGCGUCUUCUGGAUGCUGCCGCAGUACGUGCUCCUAGGCAUCGGCGACGUGUUCAACACCAUCGGAGUCCUCGAGUUCUUCUACGACCAGUCGCCGGAGGGGAUGCAGAGCCUCGGAACCACCUUCUACACGAGCGGGCUCGGCGUCGGGAACUUCCUCAACAGCUUGCUCGUGACGCUCGUCGACCGGACCACCAGGGCGAGCGUCGGCAAGAGCUGGAUCGGCGACAACCUGAACGACUCACACCUCGACUACUACUACGUGUUCCUGCUAGUGCUCUCCGUGGCCAACAUGGCGCUCUUCGUGUGGGUCGCGAUGCGGUACAAGUACAAGAAAGAGUUCCUGGAGGACAACGGCACGAUGGGGACGCCUGAGGCCGAGACUGAGAUGGUGGCCGACGGCAAGGUAACGGCGGACUCGCCGCUGGUGGUGGAGCGUGAUAAGGUGGAGGCCAUGCAUGUUGCCUAG
This 1806-nucleotide ribosomal RNA is filed under the name Triticum aestivum (bread wheat). RNAcentral describes it as "partial small subunit ribosomal RNA". The record is from RNAcentral. Lineage: Eukaryota; Viridiplantae; Streptophyta; Magnoliopsida; Poales; Poaceae.